Cavia porcellus (domestic guinea pig) is the source of this 101-nucleotide small nucleolar RNA. Lineage: Eukaryota; Metazoa; Chordata; Mammalia; Rodentia; Caviidae. The record is from Ensembl.
AAGAAAACAGAAUUUUAGCUCUGCAUGAAGUGGCAGAAGCUAAAUCAACCAGCUUUGCUAUAGUAACUGUGCUGGCUACUGAGGUACAUCUUAGUAUAGUG